UGAGAAGAGAUGGUCCAUUCAAAACUAGAUGGAAGAGGAUGUUACUUUAGUAUACACAAAUCUUGCUGUGCUGUGUGCUAUGAUUUUAACUUUCAGUUUCAUCCAGAAAUGUCAAUCCCCACAUUAAUUUUGCUUCUAGUACUUGCAUGUGACAGUAAUGGUCAGACCAUUGAGCCAAUCAGAGAGGAGGUGUAUGCUCCAGCAGGUAGCAAUAUUACACUUUCAUGCACCUACUCAUCUGCAGUCUCUCUUCAAUGGUAUCUCCAGGACCCUGGAUCACCUCCUCAGUAUAUACUGCUUAUCCUGCAUGGUGCUGGGUCUCCAUCACGGGCUCCAAGUCUGGAUCCUCGACUGUCAGUCAAACUAAAUGAUGAGAAGAACCGUGUGGAUCUGGAGAUCUCCUCUGCUAAAGAGAAAGACUCUGCUAUGUACUACUGUGCACUGACGCCCACAGUGAAAGGAAACCAACAAACGCUGUACAAAAACCUAACCUGACACAUUCUAUACGUACAUGACAUGACCUACAGGAGAUGAUACAUCUGAAGAUUUUUCUUUUUGACAGGAAACCUGGUGGGAGUGUUUAAAAACCUACGUAAAGAGGAGGAGCAACAUUGUAUACGCCUAGUUAUCAUUUCAAAGUCAUAGCAAUGUUUUGGCUUUGCUGUUUUCUAAAUAACACAUUUAUGUCUGUUCUAUAACAUAGACCAUGAUGCUCCUGUUAUAUUCUACUGAUUUCAGCCCUUGUAGGUGAUACUUUAGAGGAUGAUAUUACUCAAACCAGUCCUGAGGAGUAUUAUUUAGAGGGUAGCAGAGUUAAGAGCUCCUGUAACUAUACAGUAAAGGCUAAUAAUCUCCAGUGGUACAGACAGUACCCUGGAUCAGCACCCCAAUUCCUCCUCUACACUACAGUCGCUGCAACUCCACGUGUAG
This is a non-coding RNA of Salmo salar (Atlantic salmon), 930 nucleotides long. The record is from the annotation of a RefSeq genome assembly. NCBI's taxonomy places the organism in Eukaryota, Metazoa, Chordata, Actinopteri, Salmoniformes, Salmonidae.